UUCUUCGUGGUCCAGCGGUUAGGAUUUCACACUCUCACUGUGAAGGCCAGGGUUCGACUCCCUGCGAGGAAG
Molecule: transfer RNA, 72 nt
Filed under: Geranomyces variabilis
Lineage: Eukaryota; Fungi; Chytridiomycota; Chytridiomycetes; Spizellomycetales; Powellomycetaceae
Description: tRNA-Glu
Rfam family: tRNA
About the family: Transfer RNA (tRNA) molecules are approximately 80 nucleotides in length. Their secondary structure includes four short double-helical elements and three loops (D, anti-codon, and T loops).
Source: RNAcentral